GACGAACGCUGGCGGCGUGCUUAACACAUGCAAGUCGAACGGAAAGGCCUGCUUUCCCUUGUGGAUUGCGGGUACUCGAGUGGCGAACGGGUGAGUAACACGUGAGUGAUCUGCCCCCAACUUGGGUAUAAGCCUGGGAAACUGGGUCUAAUUCCCGAUAGGACUGCAGGGUGGUGCCUGUGGUGGAAAACGAUUUUCUAGUGGUUGGGGAUGAGCUCGCGGCCUAUCAGCUUGUUGGUGGGGUAAUGGCCUACCAAGGCGGCGACGGGUAGCCGGCCUGAGAGGGUGGACGGCCACAUUGGGACUGAGAUACGGCCCAGACUCCUACGGGAGGCAGCAGUGGGGAAUAUUGCACAAUGGGCGGAAGCCUGAUGCAGCGACGCCGCGUGGGGGAUGACGGCCCUCGGGUUGUAAACUCCUUUCGACCGCGAGGAAGCCACCUGGUUGGAAGGGUGGUGACGGUAGUGGUAGAAGAAGCACCGGCUAACUACGUG
This 494-nucleotide ribosomal RNA is filed under the name uncultured bacterium. Its description in RNAcentral is "partial 16S ribosomal RNA". It matches the Rfam family "Bacterial small subunit ribosomal RNA", at positions 28 to 507 of the family's 1533-position model. The record is from RNAcentral.